Molecule: ribosomal RNA, 497 nt
Filed under: uncultured bacterium
Lineage: Bacteria
Description: partial 16S ribosomal RNA
Rfam family: Bacterial small subunit ribosomal RNA
Source: RNAcentral
GACGAACGCUGGCGGCGUGCCUAAUACAUGCAAGUAGAACGCUGAAGAGAGGAGCUUGCUCUUCUUGGAUGAGUUGCGAACGGGUGAGUAACGCGUAGGUAACCUGCCUUGUAGCGGGGGAUAACUAUUGGAAACGAUAGCUAAUACCGCAUAACAAUGGAUGACACAUGUCAUUUAUUUGAAAGGGGCGAUUGCUCCACUACAAGAUGGACCUGCGUUGUAUUAGCUAGUAGGUGAGGUAAUGGCUCACCUAGGCGACGAUACAUAGCCGACCUGAGAGGGUGAUCGGCCACACUGGGACUGAGACACGGCCCAGACUCCUACGGGAGGCAGCAGUAGGGAAUCUUCGGCAAUGGGGGCAACCCUGACCGAGCAACGCCGCGUGAGUGAAGAAGGUUUUCGGAUCGUAAAGCUCUGUUGUAAGUCAAGAACGGGUGUGAGAGUGGAAAGUUCACACUGUGACGGUAGCUUACCAGAAAGGGACGGCUAACUACGUG